CUUCCAGUAGCACCUUAGAGACCAACUAAGUUUGUUAUUGGUAUGAGCUUUCGUGUCCAUGCACAAACAAACUUAGUUGGUCUCUAAGGUGCUACUGGAAG
Molecule: non-coding RNA, 101 nt
Organism: Podarcis lilfordi (Lilford's wall lizard)
Lineage: Eukaryota; Metazoa; Chordata; Lepidosauria; Squamata; Lacertidae
Source: the annotation of a GenBank genome assembly